ACUGGGAUUUCACAUCCAACGCAUCUCUCGCAUAAGAAUACUUUCUUUGACAUAACGUAAGCAGAGGAUACUCAUAAAUCAUUAAAAUAUUUUUUAAAACAGUUAAUUUAGCUGAAAUACAUAAUAUAUGUAUCCAUAGUAGCGCAGUGGCUGAUGUAAUAGUGAUGUAAUGAGGCCACAGGUGUAUGCUUGUAAAGUAAUUUACAACAGCUUCAAGCCUGGCUCAGCCAAUCAGAAUCAAGAACCAGAAUUAUCAGCUUCAUAAAUUACAAAACUCGUGCAGCGGUAAACACCAUGCUAAAGCCACAAGUCUCCACAUCAUUACUCUAGAUAAAAAAUGUGAUCUGCAUACCAAACAGUCUUCAGCUGUAACCUUCUGCUCCUCCUUACUGAAUACUGAUUCAGUCAUCCCAAGCACAUGUUGAGUAAAUCCCACAGUCACAGCCCAAGGCCGUCCUCCUUGAACUCUAAUCUCAGAACAUCUCUUAUCGACGAUGCUGAACGACAUGAUUAAAAAGGAGCCAGGACAAUCCAGCCUUCCACUUGGGAUCUCCUUUUCUCCACGGCCUCUGUCAAUCACCCAGGUAUCUUCCAUAUGGCUUUGCCAGGGCGGCCAAUUAGGCAGUUUCAGCAGUCACCUCUGUGGUGCAUUAAGCACCCUGUGGACAUUAGAGAUUCUGUCUGUAGAGCCUGUGUAUGGUAAUGAGAAGAGGUAAAGAGAAAGUCUUCUGGAAGCCCAAGAACUCACUUGGUUCUUUUCUUUUUUUAUCUUUUUUUAAAGCUGUUAAGAGAUGCUGGCUGUUCUCGCUCCGACUGCCACUCCAAAAAGCAAAUGGCCUGGGGCUCCGGAACUUCAGCCCCCAUUAGCAAUGAAACAAAUCACAGCGGUUGCAAAGGCCUACCUGUGAAAUGUGCACCAUUUGUCUCCGAUGAACUUCUCUCUGAGCCUGGAAGCUUAUUUGCGGAGGUGGAAUCCUUCAAAAGUGUACAGACAUCUACACAUAUCGACUUAAGACCGGCAGAGAGGAAGAGAAACGCCGUCGGACUGAUGAAGCUUUGAAAGCUCAUGGACGUACAGCGGUGAAGCUGAGGGUAGUAUCAGGGAAUUGAUGUCGACAAUGCUAAUUUUCAGGUCUGGCAAACUGGAGAAAGCAGUGAAACAGAAAAUAGAAAAAUGAAAGGCAAGCUCCUGCUCACAGAGUAUCCUUCAUCAUGCAACCAUAUCUCAAAACAACAACUAGCAAUUUCACACAGUAAUUGACAAACAUUUUGCCGAAAUUAGACGCAGGGAAACAACCUUUUGUUCAGUUGUUUUUCUUUUUGUGUCCUAGCUGUCCAUGAUGGCAAAGUAGGAUUAAAGGUGUAGCUCGGUUCGGUUUG
Molecule: non-coding RNA, 1380 nt
Organism: Danio rerio (zebrafish)
Lineage: Eukaryota; Metazoa; Chordata; Actinopteri; Cypriniformes; Danionidae
Source: RefSeq, a predicted model, not a curated record